GACGAACGCUGGCGGCGUGCUUAACACAUGCAAGUCGAACGGGAUUUAGUAAACAGAAGCCUCGGUGGAAGAUUACUAAUGAGAGUGGCGAACGGGUGAGUAACGCGUGAGCAACCUGCCUAUGACAGUGGGAUAGCCUCGGGAAACCGGGAUUAAUACCGCAUAAAAUCGUAGAAACACAUGUUUUAACGGUCAAAGAUUUAUCGGUCAUAGAUGGGCUCGCGUCUGAUUAGCUAGUUGGUGAGAUAACAGCCCACCAAGGCGACGAUCAGUAGCCGGUCUGAGAGGAUGAACGGCCACAUUGGAACUGAGACACGGUCCAAACUCCUACGGGAGGCAGCAGUGGGGAAUAUUGCACAAUGGGGGAAACCCUGAUGCAGCGACGCCGCGUGAACGAAGAAGGUAUUCGUAUCGUAAAGUUUCUGUCCUAUGGGAAGAUAAUGACAGUACCAUAGAAGAAAGCU
This 464-nucleotide ribosomal RNA is filed under the name uncultured bacterium. RNAcentral describes it as "bacterial SSU rRNA". It matches the Rfam family "Bacterial small subunit ribosomal RNA", at positions 28 to 492 of the family's 1533-position model. The record is from RNAcentral.